Long non-coding RNA from Oncorhynchus tshawytscha (Chinook salmon), 309 nucleotides. The record is from Ensembl. NCBI's taxonomy places the organism in Eukaryota, Metazoa, Chordata, Actinopteri, Salmoniformes, Salmonidae.
GACAGGGAGACAGGGAGACAGGUAGACAGAGAAGCUGCUCUAGAGAAACAGGGAGACAGGUAGACGGAGAAGCUGCUAUAGAGAAACAGGGAGACAAGGAUACAGGUAGACAGGUAGACAGAGAAGCUGCUCUAGAGAAACAGGGAGACAGGGAGACAGGUAGACAGAGAUGCUGCUCUAGAGAAACAGGGAGACAGGUAGACAGAGAAGCUGCUCUAGGGAGACAGGGAGACAGGUAAACAGAGAAGCUGCUCUAGAGAAACAGGGAGACAAGGAUACAGGUAGACAGGUAGACAGAGAAGCUGCUCU